GACGAACGCUGGCGGCGUGCUUAACACAUGCAAGUCGAACGGAAAGGCCCUGCUCUUGCAGUGUUCUCGAGUGGCGAACAGGUGAGUAACACGUGAGUAAACUCCCCUUGACUUUGGGAUAACUUCAGGAAAAUGGGGCUAUUACCGCGCAUGAGCCUCUGCUGCAUGUUGGGGGUUGGAAAGUUUGGGCGGAUGGGGAUGGACUGGCGGGUUACCAGCUUGCUUGUGGGGUAGUGGCUUACCAAGGCUUUGACGGGUAGCCGGCCUGAGAGGGUGACCGGCCACAUUGGGACUGAGAGACGGCCCAGACUCCUACGGGAGGCAGAAGUGGGGAGUAUUGCAGAAUGGGCGGAAGCCUGAUGCAGAAACGCCGCGUGCGGGAUGACGGCCUUCGGGUUGUAAACCGCUUUCGCCUGUGACGAAGCGUGAGUGACGGUAAUGGGUAAAGAAGCACCGGCUAACUACGUG
RNAcentral lists this ribosomal RNA (468 nucleotides) under uncultured bacterium. Its description in RNAcentral is "partial 16S ribosomal RNA". It matches the Rfam family "Bacterial small subunit ribosomal RNA", at positions 28 to 507 of the family's 1533-position model. The record is from RNAcentral.